This 213-nucleotide long non-coding RNA is filed under the name Homo sapiens (human). RNAcentral describes it as "HSALNT0023325". The record is from RNAcentral. Lineage: Eukaryota; Metazoa; Chordata; Mammalia; Primates; Hominidae.
GGGGACCCCAGAGUCUGGAGCUGGCAAGGCCAGUAACAUCCCCCUGGAAGGGCUAGAGACCUCCAGGCUGAGACCAGCUGGGCUGGGUCAGCCAGGCCCAACUUGGUCACCCCACAGUUCUCAGCCACACUGGCCAGCUGGACAUGCUGCAGGGCUGAGGGUGGACACCAGUGCCAAAGGCCCCAGGUGAUGCUGUCCUUUGACCACCCCAGG